Molecule: ribosomal RNA, 449 nt
Filed under: uncultured bacterium
Lineage: Bacteria
Description: partial 16S ribosomal RNA
Rfam family: Bacterial small subunit ribosomal RNA
Source: RNAcentral
AACGAACGCUGGCGGCAUGCCUAACACAUGCAAGUCGAACGAGAUCUUCGGGUCUAGUGGCGCACGGGUGCGUAACGCGUGGGAAUCUGCCCUUUGGUUCGGAAUAACAGUUGGAAACGACUGCUAAUACCGGAUGAUGACGAAAGUCCAAAGAUUUAUCGCCAGAGGAUGAGCCCGCGUAGGAUUAGCUAGUUGGUGUGGUAAAGGCGCACCAGGGCGACGAUCCUUAGCUGGUCUGAGAGGAUGAUCAGCCACACUGGGACUGAGACACGGCCCAGACUCCUACGGGAGGCAGCAGUGGGGAAUAUUGGACAAUGGGCGAAAGCUUGAUCCAGCAAUGCCGCGUGAGUGAUGAAGGCCUUAGGGUUGUAAAGCUCUUUUACCCGGGAUGAUAAUGACAGUACCGGGAGAAUAAGCUCCGGCUAACUCCGUGCCAGCAGCCGCGGUAA